GAUGAAGAACGUAGCGAAAUGCGAUAAGUAAUGUGAAUUGCAGAAUUCAGUGAAUCAUCGAAUCUUUGAACGCAUCUUGCGCUCCUUGGUAUUCUGAGGGGCAUGCCUGUUUGAGUGUCAUUAAAUUCUCAACUACACUGACUUUGAAUUGGUGUGGCUUGGAUUUGGGGGGAAAAUUGUUGUGGGCUUUUUGUAUAGUCUGCUCCCCUGAAAUUGAUUAGCGGUACCUUUGUGGAACUGUCUACAGGUGUGAUAAUUAUCUACAUCUUAGACAUCUGCUGGAAUGCUGCUUUCUAAACCUUACUUGUAUUGACAAUCUUGACCUCAAAUCAGGUAGGACUACCCGCUGAACUUAAGCAUAUCAAUAAGCGGAGGA
Molecule: unclassified non-coding RNA, 376 nt
Filed under: soil metagenome
Description: partial contains 5.8S ribosomal RNA, internal transcribed spacer 2, and large subunit ribosomal RNA
Rfam family: 5.8S ribosomal RNA (bases 1-120)
Source: RNAcentral